This is a non-coding RNA of Dipodomys spectabilis (banner-tailed kangaroo rat), 697 nucleotides long. NCBI's taxonomy places the organism in Eukaryota, Metazoa, Chordata, Mammalia, Rodentia, Heteromyidae. The record is from the annotation of a RefSeq genome assembly.
UCUUCAUAGACUGCUCACACUAUGCAGUAGUCAGUCCCAGUCAGCAAACAGCAUGGACAUGAGGACCCCUGCUCAGCUCCUGGGGCUCCUGCUGCUGUGCUUCCCAGGUGCCAGAUGUGACAUCCAGAUGACCCAGACUCCAUCCUCCCUGUCUGCAUCUCCAGGAGACACAGUCACCAUCAAUUGCAGGGCCAGUCAGGGCAUUAGCAGUUGGUUAGCCUGGUUUCAGCAGAAACCAGGGAAAGCUCCCAAACUGCUGAUAUCCAAAGCAUCUAAUUUAGAAUCAGGUGUCCCAUCCAGGUUCAGUGGCAGUGGAUCUGGAACAGAGUUCACUCUCACCAUCAGCAACCUGCAGCCUGAAGAUUUUGCUACUUAUUACUGUAUGCAGGAUAACAGCUCUCCUCCCACAGUAAUACAAGUCAUAACUAAAACCUACAGGGGAAGCAGAAAUCCUGACCUAACUGUGGUUCAACCCCCUUUCUCUGGCUGUGUGGACUUCCAAGGUGACCAGAGGCAGCCUGCAGCUCAAAAUAAACCUUUCCCCUGCCUGAAUUCCAUGGGUUGCAAUCUUUCCUCAGCUGCUGACUUAAUUUACCUAAAAGUUUCUAGCUCCCGGCCAUUCUUCAUUGUUAUUAUUGAGUUGCACCAUGGUAGCUUUAAAGCAAAGAAGGAAAAUUGUCAACGUCUAGUGUGUUGA